RNAcentral lists this ribosomal RNA (330 nucleotides) under uncultured eukaryote. RNAcentral describes it as "partial 18S ribosomal RNA". It matches the Rfam family "Eukaryotic small subunit ribosomal RNA", at positions 1470 to 1796 of the family's 1831-position model. The record is from RNAcentral.
CCCUUAGAUGUUCUGGGCCGCACGCGCGCUACACUGAUGCAUUCAACGAGUCUAAAACCUGGUCUGAUAGGGCUGGGUAAUCUUUUGAAUGUGCAUCGUGAUUGGGAUAGAUGAUUGCAAUUCUUCAUCUUCAACGAGGAAUGCCUAGUAAACGCAAAUCAUCAGCUUGCAUUGAUUACGUCCCUGCCCUUUGUACACACCGCCCGUCGCUCCUACCGAUUGAAUGUUCCGAUGAAUACCAUGGACUGAGAGUAUGAAUGGGUUCGCCUAUUUCUGCUUCUCGGGAAGUGGAGUAAAUCUUAACAUUUAGAGGAAGGAGAAGUCGUAACA